GAGAGGGAGAACACAGUUGGAGAAAAUCGGCAGCUGAGACGGCCUUGGCCGGACUUAGCACUCAGGCCUGUGAAUCAGGAGAUACAAAGACCUCCAAAAAAGGACCAGUUCCUCGGAUGUGCCCCCUCACAGAGAGAUGAAGGGGCAGCAGAAAACAGCUGAAACGGAAGAGGGGACAGUGCAGAUUCAGGAAGGUGCAGUGGCUACUGGGGAAGACCCAACCAGUGUGGCUAUUGCCAGCAUCCAGUCAGCUGCCACCUUCCCUGACCCCAACGUCAAGUACGUCUUCCGAACUGAGAAUGGGGGCCAGGUGAUGUACAGGGUGAUCCAGGUGUCUGAGGGGCAGCUGGAUGGCCAAACUGAGGGAACUGGCGCCAUCAGUGGCUACCCUGCCACUCAAUCCAUGACCCAGGCGGUGAUCCAGGGUGCUUUCACCAGUGAUGAUGCAGUUGACACGGAGGGGACAGCUGCUGAGACGCACUAUACUUACUUCCCCAGCACGGCAGUGGGAGAUGGGGCAGGGGGUACCACAUCGGGGAGUACAGCUGCUGUUGUUACUACCCAGGGCUCAGAGGCACUGCUGGGGCAGGCGACCCCUCCUGGCACUGGUGAGAUAUUGCAUGAGGAUGCUGGCUGAAAGGGCUAGAAUAGGCUGUGGGACAUGACUGGUAGGCAGUGAGCCUUCACUCAUGACUCUUAGUGAUCAUUAAGACCUGGACAGGCAGUGAGUCCGGGGCUGCUCUUCUAUUAGCAUGUUCUUUUUAGAGGAGGGGACCAGGGUCUUCACCUCAGGGCUUGGUGAGGUUCCUACCCAUGUCCUGACAGAACCUACCCUGCAUCUUCACAGGUCAAUUCUUUGUGAUGAUGUCACCACAAGAAGUACUGCAGGGAGGAAGCCAGCGCUCAAUUGCCCCUAGGACUCACCCUUAUUCC
Molecule: small RNA, 933 nt
Filed under: Pan troglodytes (chimpanzee)
Lineage: Eukaryota; Metazoa; Chordata; Mammalia; Primates; Hominidae
Description: retained intron
Source: RNAcentral